Molecule: non-coding RNA, 1554 nt
Organism: Oryza sativa Japonica Group (Japanese rice)
Lineage: Eukaryota; Viridiplantae; Streptophyta; Magnoliopsida; Poales; Poaceae
Source: RefSeq, a predicted model, not a curated record
CUUCUCUAUCAUCGUUGAACUUUAUCGAGCCCUCCACACUACUCUCUCUUCUCCCUCGAUUCCCCUCUCUCCGCAACAUCCGCGUCUGCCUCACUCCUGGCCAGCGCCUAGCUGAGCGUGGCCGAGCCGCUGGACGCCUGCACCGCCAUGCUGGCCUCCCCUUCCCUCGUUGCCGCCGUCUCCGCCGUCUCUGCCGAGCCAAGCGGACAGCGCUGCUGGCCACCCCUCCAACCGGCGUUCGACCUCCUCCUUUGCCCGGCGCUGCUUUGGCUCGUGCACCCCGACGGCUUCCGUCGCCGCCGUGCCGGCCUUCCCCUAUCCUCCUCGAUGCCGCAGGGCCACCUUCAUGCCGCAGCCGCGCAGGGCCGAUCGGCGCCUGGCCGCCACCCAGCCGGGGCACCGCGCCGCCAUCGCCUCGACCCGGUCGCUGGCUGCGCCGCCGCCCCUAGCCUCGCCGCUGCACUGGGCCGCCCCCGAAUGGUUGCCCUCCGAAUGGCACACAAGGAAACAAACUUCAUUAAAUGUCCUCUCAAGCCUAAGGGCAACUAAGUUAUUUGGCUGCGCCGUUACCCACCGUUACGACUAAAAAUGGACGAAAUAAUGUGGAGGGCGUGAUAAAAUUUGAUGAUAGUAGAGAGAGAGGCUCAACUUUUUUUUAAUGGCACACCAUCUCACCAUCUGCCCUUUCUUAAUGGCAAACAAGGGAAAAACCUCCAACUCUGUGCUGUACAACGGCUAAAUAUUCGAGAAAACCCCUCAUAUUAUUAUGAACUGAAACACAAACUUCGUCGGCAGCUGAGGCGCGAUGCGUGGCGGCGCGCCACAACUGGAGCGGCCCUCCCCUGAGCCUGAGGGGCAGAGGUGGGCUAGCUGGAGCCUGGAGGUGGCAGCGGCCGCCGCGCACUCGCAACUACUCACAAGCCGCCUCGGCCCCCUAAUCUUCCGCGAGAAGAACGCGGAGUAGCAGCAGCAGAGGCGUGCGGGGUCGGUGGACUCGGUGCUAACGGAGCAACCUUUCUGCUGGUGAUAAGAGCAUAAGACCUCUUCUCCUGUGAGCAGAAGCAAAGCACCGGGGAUUGAUUCUGGCACAGGCAUAUAAUGCAGUAAUAUGCCUCAAGACAGAUCAUCUCCUUUCGGUGCUUUGAAAUUUUUUCGCCAACCAGCAGAAGCAAGCCAUUUGAUUGGGAACUCCAUCAAAACAAUGACAAGAAGAUUCUGGUCCUCACAUCAUGGGAGCACUAAGCUAUGUCACUGUCACUAUUCUGGAAAUUUCUCAAGGUAUUUGAUAGCUAUCGCGAUUUCUGUAGGCCUUCCAGACUCUGUUGGAGGAGUUUUAUCAGGACCUGUGUCAAAUGUGGCAACAAGGUGGUACUUUGGUAUUUGGUAGAAAUUUAUAUUGAAAUGAUGGGGGAGGAUCGGCAUUCUAAUUUGGGCUGUGUUUAGUUCGUGUGCCAAAUUUUUUUUGAAGUAUACGGACACACAUUUGAAGUAUUAAACGUAGACUAAUAACAAAACAAAUUACAGAUUCCGCCUGUAAACUGCGAGACGAAUCUA